RNAcentral lists this ribosomal RNA (550 nucleotides) under uncultured bacterium. RNAcentral's name for it is "bacterial SSU rRNA". It matches the Rfam family "Bacterial small subunit ribosomal RNA", at positions 355 to 896 of the family's 1533-position model. The record is from RNAcentral.
UAGGGAAUCUUCGGCAAUGGGGGCAACCCUGACCGAGCAACGCCGCGUGAGUGAAGAAGGUUUUCGGAUCGUAAAGCUCUGUUGUAAGUCAAGAACGAGUGUGAGAGUGGAAAGUUCACACUGUGACGGUAGCUUACCAGAAAGGGACGGCUAACUACGUGCCAGCAGCCGCGGUAAUACGUAGGUCCCGAGCGUUGUCCGGAUUUAUUGGGCGUAAAGCGAGCGCAGGCGGUUUGAUAAGUCUGAAGUUAAAGGCUGUGGCUCAACCAUAGUUCGCUUUGGAAACUGUCAAACUUGAGUGCAGAAGGGGAGAGUGGAAUUCCAUGUGUAGCGGUGAAAUGCGUAGAUAUAUGGAGGAACACCGGUGGCGAAAGCGGCUCUCUGGUCUGUAACUGACGCUGAGGCUCGAAAGCGUGGGGAGCGAACAGGAUUAGAUACCCUGGUAGUCCACGCCGUAAACGAUGAGUGCUAGGUGUUAGACCCUUUCCGGGGUUUAGUGCCGCAGCUAACGCAUUAAGCACUCCGCCUGGGGAGUACGACCGCAAGGUUG